This 200-nucleotide ribosomal RNA is filed under the name uncultured bacterium. RNAcentral describes it as "partial 16S ribosomal RNA". It matches the Rfam family "Bacterial small subunit ribosomal RNA", at positions 28 to 231 of the family's 1533-position model. The record is from RNAcentral.
GAUGAACGCUAGCGGCAGGCUUAACACAUGCAAGUCGAGGGGUAUAGGCUUUCGGGCCUAGAGACCGGCGCACGGGUGCGUAACGCGUAUGCAAUCUACCUUUCACAGAGGGAUAGCCCAGAGAAAUUUGGAUUAAUACCUCAUAGCAUAACGACCUGGCAUCAGGAUGUUAUUAAAGUCACAACGGUGAAAGAUGAGCA